This 688-nucleotide long non-coding RNA is filed under the name Erythranthe guttata (spotted monkey flower). RNAcentral's name for it is "long non-coding RNA (EGUT_LNC001289)". Lineage: Eukaryota; Viridiplantae; Streptophyta; Magnoliopsida; Lamiales; Phrymaceae. The record is from RNAcentral.
AAAAAAAAGAGAAAAAGAAGAAGAAGAAGAGACUAGAAGGGAGAAAUAAGGACUAGUUGUUGAAUUAUUUUUGAAAACUCGAUCCAUUGCCUCAAAAGCAAAAGUGGAGACUUUGGAACUUUUGAGAAUCGAGUUUAUUAAAGUCCGUAGAGGUGAAUUCAUUGUUUCAAACGCCUAUCUUUCAAAUUUUGGCGUAAUCACCUAAAUUCAAGAAGAAUAGCCACACAUACCCAUAUUUCCUACCUCGAACCAAAGAGCCUAACAAUUGAAAGCCACAAAGCCCCAAUGAUCCCAAUAGCUUAAUAUUCGAUAUUAGUAGAGUAGAAUAAUUUGGUGAGUAUUUGGAGUCAAGCAUAUGCAUGUAAGUAUAAUUUUUUUUCUAUCUUUAAUUUGCAAAUAUUGGAUGCUUGAAGCAAUUGUAUGAAUUGUGGUUUUUGGUAAUGGUGAGUGACUAUGUGUUGUUGAAUUUUGAGCUUGAGAAUGCCUAAGAAUUGUCAUUAUAAUUACAAGUUCUGAGAACGUGAAGUUGAUCAUUGAUCUAUGUGAUGAGAUGUAAUAGUUGAGUUAUUUGCUUAUUGGUAGAUUUUGCUUGAGGACAAGCAAAAGUUCAAGUUUGGGGGUGUGUUAAGUGUAUAUUUUUACACUUUAUCGUACCUUUUUAUUUGGGCUUUUGAUGUGUUUUAACGAU